This 118-nucleotide ribosomal RNA is filed under the name uncultured bacterium. Its description in RNAcentral is "partial 16S ribosomal RNA". It matches the Rfam family "Bacterial small subunit ribosomal RNA", at positions 1383 to 1500 of the family's 1533-position model. The record is from RNAcentral.
GUACACACCGCCCGUCACACCAUGGGAGUCGGUAACACCCGAAGCCAGUAGCCUAACCGCAGGGAGGGCGCUGUCGAAGGUGGGAUUGAUGACUGGGGUGAAGUCGUAACAAGGUAGC